RNAcentral lists this ribosomal RNA (1044 nucleotides) under Klebsiella aerogenes. Its description in RNAcentral is "bacterial SSU rRNA". It matches the Rfam family "Bacterial small subunit ribosomal RNA", at positions 424 to 1464 of the family's 1533-position model. Lineage: Bacteria; Pseudomonadati; Pseudomonadota; Gammaproteobacteria; Enterobacterales; Enterobacteriaceae. The record is from RNAcentral.
UGUAAACUAGUUGAGCGGGAAGAAGGCGUAAGGCUAUAACUUUUCGAUUGACCUCACCCGCAGAUGAAGCACUGUCUAGUGCCGUGCCAGCAGCCGAGGUAAUUUCGGAGGGUGCAAGCGUUUAAUCGCAAUUACUGCGCGUAAAGCGCACGCACGCGGUCAGUCAAGUCGGAUUUUGAAAUCCCCGGGCUCAACCCGGGAACUGCAUUCGAAACUGGCAGGCUAGAGUGUUGUAGAGGGGGGUAGAAUUCCAGGUGUAGCGGUGAAAUGUGUAGAGAUGUGGAGGAAUACCGGUGGCGAAGGCGGCCCCCCGGACAAAGACUGACGCUCAGGUGUGAAAGUGUGGGGAGCAAACAGGAUUAGAUACCCUGGUAGUCCACGCCGUAAACGAUGUCGACUUGGAGGUUGUGCCCUUGAGGCGUGGCUUCCGGAGCUAACGCGUUAAGUCGACCGCCUGGGGAGUACGGCCGCAAGGUUAAAACUCAAAUGAAUUGACGGGGGCCCGCACAAGCGGUGGAGCAUGUGGUUUAAUUCGAUGCAACGCGAAGAACCUUACCUACUCUUGACAUCCAGAGAACUUUCCAGAGAUGGUUUGGUGCCUUCGGGAACUCUGAGACAGGUGCUGCAUGGCUGUCGUCAGCUCGUGUUGUGAAAUGUUGGGUUAAGUCCCGCAACGAGCGCAACCCUUAUCCUUUGUUGCCAGCGGUCCGGCCGGGAACUCAAAGGAGACUGCCAGUGAUAAACUGGAGGAAGGUGGGGAUGACGUCAAGUCAUCAUGGCCCUUACGAGUAGGGCUACACACGUGCUACAAUGGCGCAUACAAAGAGAAGCGACCUCGCGAGAGCAAGCGGACCUCAUAAAGUGCGUCGUAGUCCGGAUUGGAGUCUGCAACUCGACUCCAUGAAGUCGGAAUCGCUAGUAAUCGUAGAUCAGAAUGCUACGGUGAAUACGUUCCCGGGCCUUGUACACACCGCCCGUCACACCAUGGGAGUGGGUUGCAAAAGAAGUAGGUAGCUUAACCUUCGGGAGGGCGCUACCACUUUA